CCUACGGGAGACAGCAGUGAGGAAUAUUGGUCAAUGGGCGUAAGCCUGAACCAGCCAAGUCGCGUGAGGGAUGAAGGUUCUAUGGAUCGUAAACCGCUUUUAUAAGGGAAUAAAGUGUGGGACGUGUCCUAUUUUGUAUGUACCUUAUGAAUAAGGAUCGGCUAACUCCGUGCCAGCAGCCGCGGUAAUACGGAGGAUCCGAGCGUUAUCCGGAUUUAUUGGGUUUAAAGGGUGCGUAGGCGGCCUUUUAAGUCAGCGGUGAAAUUCUGUGGCUCAACCAUAGACUGGCCGUUGAAACUGGUGUUCUUGAGUAUGUUUGAGGCAGGCGGACUGCGUGGUGUAGCGGUGAAUUGCUUAGAUAUCACGCAGAACCCCGAUUGCGAAGGCAGCCUGCCAAGCCAUGACUGACGCUGAUGCACGAAAGCGUGGGGAUCAAACAGGAUUAGAUACCCCAGUAGUC
Molecule: ribosomal RNA, 460 nt
Filed under: uncultured bacterium
Lineage: Bacteria
Description: partial 16S ribosomal RNA
Rfam family: Bacterial small subunit ribosomal RNA
Source: RNAcentral